Molecule: ribosomal RNA, 401 nt
Filed under: uncultured bacterium
Lineage: Bacteria
Description: partial 16S ribosomal RNA
Rfam family: Archaeal small subunit ribosomal RNA
Source: RNAcentral
AUACCGGCUGCUCGAGUGAUGGCCACUAUUACUGGGUUUAAAGCGUCCGUAGCUUGACUGUUAGGUCUCUUGGGAAAUCUUUUGGCUUAACCAAAAGGCGUCUAAGAGAUACCGGCAUUCUUGGAACUGGGAGAGGUAAGCCGUACUUCGGGGGUAGGAGUGAAAUCUUGUAAUCCUCGAGGGACGACCUAUGGCGAAGGCAGCUUACCAGAACAGCUUCGACAGUGAGGGACGAAAGCUGGGGGAGCAAACGGGAUUAGAUACCCCGGUAGUCCCAGCCGUAAACAAUGUGCGUUAGGUGUGUCGGUUACCACGCGUAACUGAUGCGCCGAAGAGAAAUCGUGAAACGCACCACCUGGGAAGUACGGUCGCAAGGCUGAAACUUAAAGGAAUUGGCGGGG